This 379-nucleotide long non-coding RNA is filed under the name Salvia miltiorrhiza (redroot sage). RNAcentral's name for it is "long non-coding RNA (SMIL_LNC003297)". The record is from RNAcentral. Lineage: Eukaryota; Viridiplantae; Streptophyta; Magnoliopsida; Lamiales; Lamiaceae.
ACCGUUUUUAUAGAUUUAGGGAUUUGAAUGAAUUUUAACUGCUCUCUGUGGGAUCGACCCUGCUUACCAUUAUACUAAUUUAUUUUGGUAAUUCCGCAGGAAUUAUUUGGUGGUUGGCGACGUCCACCAAAUUGGCGCCGUUGCCGGGGAGCGGUGUUAAUUAAUUCUUUUCCCUUUGUCUAUUUUUUUUUUUUUAUUUUCUUUGUUUAUGAGCAGAUCGUCCAAGCCGAACCUCCUCUACGAUAGUGAAAUUGAGAAGACCGCGAAGAAGCUAAGGAAGGAGGCAAAGGCGAGGAAGCUACUGGAUCUGCUGGAUUCGCAGUCUGACCUUCCCGUUCGACCAGAUCAGUUCGUCGAGGAGAAGCCCAGUACUGUUGCU